UACGAAGGGGGCUAGCGUUGCUGGAAAUAACGGGGCGUAAAGGGUGCGUAGGCGGGUCUUUAAGUCAGGGGUGAAAUCCUGGAGCUCAACUCCAGAACUGCCUUUGAUACUGAAGAUCUUGAGUUCGGGAGAGGUGAGUGGAACUGCGAGUGUAGAGGUGAAAUUCGUAGAUAUUCGCAAGAACACCAGUGGCGAAGGCGGCUCACUGGCCCGAUACUGACGCUGAGGCACGAAAGCGUGGGGAGCAAACAGG
Molecule: ribosomal RNA, 253 nt
Filed under: uncultured bacterium
Lineage: Bacteria
Description: partial 16S ribosomal RNA
Rfam family: Bacterial small subunit ribosomal RNA
Source: RNAcentral